RNAcentral lists this small nuclear RNA (191 nucleotides) under Aquila chrysaetos chrysaetos. RNAcentral's name for it is "U2 spliceosomal RNA (ENSACCG00020016517.1)". It matches the Rfam family "U2 spliceosomal RNA". From Rfam's summary of the family: U2 is a small nuclear RNA (snRNA) component of the spliceosome (involved in pre-mRNA splicing). Complementary binding between U2 snRNA (in an area lying towards the 5' end but 3' to hairpin I) and the branchpoint sequence (BPS) of the intron results the bulging out of an unpaired adenosine, on the BPS, which initiates a nucleophilic attack at the intronic 5' splice site, thus starting the first of two transesterification reactions that mediate splicing. Lineage: Eukaryota; Metazoa; Chordata; Aves; Accipitriformes; Accipitridae. The record is from Rfam by way of RNAcentral.
AUCGCUUCUCGGCCUUUUUGGCUAGAUUCAAGUGUAGUAUCUGUUCUUAUCAGUUUAAUAUCUGAUACGUCGCUCGAUGAGAGGAUUUAUAUUAAACGUAUUUUUGGGUUCGGGAGUUGGACCCGGAGCUUGCUCCCUCCGCCCGCGCAUCGUCCCGGGAUUGGCAGUGCCUCCGGAACGGUGCACUCACC